AGCAGCCGCGGUAAUUCCAGCUCCAAUAGCGUAUAUUAAAGUUGUUGCAGUUAAAAAGCUCGUAGUUGAAUUUCGGGGCCAGUAGGUCGGUCGUGCCACUGGUAUGAACUGGUCUCACUGGUCCCUCCCUCUUGAAGAACCGUGAUGCCAUUAAUUUGGUGUUGCGGGGAAACAGGACUGUUACUUUGAAAAAUUAGAGUGCUUAAAGCAGGCUUACGCUUGAAUACAUUAGCAUGGAAUAACGAAAUAGGACGAUCGAUUCUAUUUUGUUGGUUUCUAGGAUCGACGUAAUGAUUAAUAGGGAUAGUUGGGGGCAUUAGUAUUCAAUUGUCAGAGGUGAAAUUCUUGGAUUUAUUGAAGACUAACUACUGCGAAAGCAUUUGCCAAGGAUGUUUUCAUUAAUCAAGAACGAAAGUUAAGGGAUCGAAGACGAUCAGAUACCGUCGUAGUCUUAACCGUAAACUAUGCCGACUAGGGAUCGGGAUGAAGUUAAUUUUUAAUGUACUCAUUCGGCGCCUUA
RNAcentral lists this ribosomal RNA (520 nucleotides) under uncultured Glomus. RNAcentral describes it as "SSU rRNA". It matches the Rfam family "Eukaryotic small subunit ribosomal RNA", at positions 569 to 1090 of the family's 1831-position model. Lineage: Eukaryota; Fungi; Glomeromycota; Glomeromycetes; Glomerales; Glomeraceae. The record is from RNAcentral.